RNA transcript from Pipistrellus kuhlii (Kuhl's pipistrelle), 1179 nucleotides. It is a transcript of the gene named heat shock protein HSP 90-beta-like, with no coding region annotated. The record is from RefSeq and is a predicted model, not a curated record. NCBI's taxonomy places the organism in Eukaryota, Metazoa, Chordata, Mammalia, Chiroptera, Vespertilionidae. The transcript has 3 exons.
AUGCCUGAGAAAGUGAUGAACCAUGGAGAGGAGGAAGUGGAGACUUUUGCAUUCCAGGCAGAAAUUGCUGAAGCCUCUAGUGUGUUCAUAAUGGACAGCUAUGAUGAGUUGAUAUCAGAGUACCUGAACUUUAUCUGUGGUGUAGUUGACUCUAAGGACUUGCCUCUGAACAUCUCCCAAGAAAUGCUCCAGCAAAGUAAAAUCUUGAAAGUCAUUCAUAAAAAAAAUAUUAAGAAGUGCCUUGAGCUCUGCUCUGAGCUGGCAGAAGACAAGGAGAACUAUAAGAAAAUCUAUGAAACAUUCUCUAAUAACCUAAAGCUUGGACUCCAUGAGAACUCAACUAGUCAGCAAUGCCUUUCUGAGCUUUUGCACUAUCACACGUCCCAGUCUGGAGGUGAAAUGACUUCUCUUUCAGAAUAUGUCUUUCAUAUGAAGAAGAUAUAGAAGUCCACCUAUUAUAUCACUGAGGAGAGCAAGUUGCCAGCUCUGAUUUUGUGGAGCGACUUGGAAAUGGGGCUUUGAAGUAGUAUAUAUAAAGGAGCCCAUCGAUGAAUACUGUGUGCAUCAGCUCAAGGUGUUUGAAUGAUAAAGCUUGGUCUCAAUUAUCAAGGAGGGCCUGGCACAACCUGAGGAUGAAGAGGAGAAAGAGAAAAUGGAAAAGAUCAAGGCCAAGUCUGAGAACCUCUGCAAACUCAUGAAAGAAAUCUUGGAUAUGAAGGUUGAGAAGUGACAGUCUCCAAUAGGCUUUUGUCUCCACCCUGCUGCAUUGUGACUAGCACCUAUGGCUGGACAGCUAACAUGGAGUGUAUCAUGAAAGCCCAGACACUUUAGGAUAACUUUAUAAUGGGCUACAUGAUGGCCAAAAAGCACCUGGAGAUCAACCCUGACCAACCCAUUGUGGAGACUCUGCACCAGAAGGUGGAGGCAGACAAGAAUGACAAGGCUGUCAAGGACCUUAUGGUGUUACUGUUUGAAACUGUGCUGCUCUCUUCUGACUUUUCACUUGAGGAUCAUCAGACCUACUCCAACUGCAUCUACUGCAUGAUCAAGUUAGGCCCCGGCAUUGAUGAUGAUGAAGUGACAGCAGAAAAACCCAGUGCUGCUGUACCUGAUGAGAUAGAUUCUGAGAGUGAUGAGAAUGUCUCUUGCAUGGAAGAAGUAGAUUAAGAGUUUACUUGC